Molecule: long non-coding RNA, 640 nt
Filed under: Monodelphis domestica (gray short-tailed opossum)
Lineage: Eukaryota; Metazoa; Chordata; Mammalia; Didelphimorphia; Didelphidae
Description: lncRNA (ENSMODG00000039106.1)
Source: RNAcentral
AGAAGCCGGCUCCUUGAUAUGUCAGCUUCUUCUCAGAGUUUCUUUCUCUCUCUUCAGGAUCUGGAACCACAUAUUCUCUCUCUUGAAUCAAGAAACCAGAAAAUCAGAAUCUCUCUUCAAAUCCGCGUGGUUCCAGCAGAAUAUGCAGGUCGGACAGGAAGGCAUCAUUUGGAAAAGAAAAGCGGUGUUAUCCAGAAGAGUUGGUGCUGCUUCUGUGGAGAAAAAACAGAGCAUCCUAAUAUUGCUGAUUUUGUCGCUCUAUGUGGCCAUGUGGAUAUCAGAAAAAAGCGCAGACAGCACAAAAGGGAUCCAAGAAUGCAAUUACUCUAGGAGUCAUGAAGCUUCCAAGAGCUUUGAUGAUCAAUUCAAGAAUCAACCAAAGGAACCAGUGAGGGCUAUGGGACUAUGGUUGAGAGAGAACCUGGACACCCUUCAGGAGAGAAUGGAACAAGAAGAAUAUCUAUUUGACAACUCUAUGGAGGAUGGUUUCAAGAGUGGAGCCUGGAGACAAGGAAGCAAAUUAGGAGACUCCUUCAAUAGUCCAGAGGCAAGAAUAAGUAUUUGGAUGCUGAGUGACCUGCCUCCUGGACCCUCCUCCUUGUGUGACCAUCCCUUUCAAAUAGAUGGAACUUUCAAAUAA